RNAcentral lists this ribosomal RNA (316 nucleotides) under uncultured Bacillota bacterium. RNAcentral describes it as "bacterial SSU rRNA". It matches the Rfam family "Bacterial small subunit ribosomal RNA", at positions 29 to 351 of the family's 1533-position model. The record is from RNAcentral. Lineage: Bacteria; Bacillati; Bacillota.
AACGAACGCUGGCGGCAGGCCUAACACAUGCAAGUCGAACGCCUCAGCAAUGAGGAGUGGCAGACGGGUGAGUAACGCGUGGGCAACCUGCCUUUCACUGGGGGGAUAACACAGGGAAACUUGUGCUAAUACCGCAUAACAUCACGAGAUGACAUCAUCAUGUGAUCAAAGGAGUAAUCCGGUGAUAGAUGGGCCCCGCGUCCGAUUAGCUAGUUGGUGGUGUAAUGGACCACCAAGGCGACGAUCGGUAGCCGAACUGAGAGGUUGAUCGGCCACAUUGGGACUGAGACACGGCCCAGACUCCUACGGGAGGCUG